GACGAACGCUGGCGGCGUGCUUAACACAUGCAAGUCGAACGGAAAGGCCCUGCUUUUGUGGGGUGCUCGAGUGGCGAACGGGUGAGUAACACGUGAGUAACCUGCCCUUGACUUUGGGAUAACUUCAGGAAACUGGGGCUAAUACCGGAUAGGAGCUCCUGCUGCAUGGUGGGGGUGGGAAAGUUUCGGCGGUUGGGGAUGGACUCGCGGCUUAUCAGCUUGUUGGUGGGGUAGUGGCUUACCAAGGCUUUGACGGGUAGCCGGCCUGAGAGGGUGACCGGCCACAUUGGGACUGAGAUACGGCCCAGACUCCUACGGGGGGCAGCAGUGGGGAAUAUUGCACAAUGGGCGGAAGCCUGAUGCAGCAACGCCGCGUGCGGGAUGACGGCCUUCGGGUUGUAAACCGCUUUCGCCUGUGACGAAGCGUGAGUGACGGUAAUGGGUAAAGAAGCACCGGCUAACUACGUG
RNAcentral lists this ribosomal RNA (468 nucleotides) under uncultured bacterium. RNAcentral's name for it is "partial 16S ribosomal RNA". It matches the Rfam family "Bacterial small subunit ribosomal RNA", at positions 28 to 507 of the family's 1533-position model. The record is from RNAcentral.